UUGAGUAUAUGCUCCCUGAAGAUCAAGAGAGCAAAAUACUCUGCUAUUUGCCAAUUUAGCAAAUAAAUCACUCGCCACAGGCAAAGGGGAUUCUUAGUGUCAGUAGGAUCAUAGGACUAGCCACGCAAUGAUUCAGUACACCAACAAUCGGCUGCGAAGUUUGUUGUAACAGAAAGGAAAAAUUCCACAAAAGGAAUGUAAUGCCAAGACUUUGCUUUGCUUCAUAAGGCAAUAUACAUAAAUUUUUCUUCGUCGUAGCAAUACAUUUCGAAUAUCAUAUUAGUAUGUCGGAGUUCAUUAGUUAAAAUAAAUGCUGUUUUUAUCAAGCGAUUUACUAUUAUAAAUUACAUUGAAUGAAAAACAUUCAUUUUGUACAUGAUCUUAUAACUAUUCCAGGUUGCCCGUCAAGCAAUGUUGACAGCGUCGCUUCCACUCUAGUGCAGUUCAGAGCAGUCACAACCGAUAUGACUAUCCAGUUAUAGAAAUGACAUGACAUUUUGAGCUCGCGACAUAUAUAUGAAAACUGUGAACGAAAAUAAAUGCAGCUACCUAUCCAGAAUACACAUCCGUUGACGAUCAGCUUGAGGGAAUCCCUAAACACUGUUUAACACAUACAGCAACAGCAAUUGUACAACAAAAGUAA
Malaya genurostris is the source of this 643-nucleotide long non-coding RNA. RefSeq lists it as uncharacterized. NCBI's taxonomy places the organism in Eukaryota, Metazoa, Arthropoda, Insecta, Diptera, Culicidae. The transcript has 3 exons. The record is from RefSeq and is a predicted model, not a curated record.